CCGCACAAAGCGGUGGAUUAUGUGGAUUAAUUCGAUGCAACGCGAAAAACCUUACCUACCCUUGACAUGCUAGGAAGUCCGCAGAGAUGUGGAUGUGCCCGAAAGGGAACCUAGACACAGGUGCUGCAUGGCUGUCGUCAGCUCGUGUCGUGAGAUGUUGGGUUAAGUCCCGCAACGAGCGCAACCCUUGCCAUUAGUUGCGACAUUUAGUUGAGCACUCUAAUGGGACCGCCGGUGACAAACCGGAGGAAGGUGGGGAUGACGUCAAGUCCUCAUGGCCCUUAUGGGUAGGGCUUCACACGUAAUACAAUGGUCGGUACAGAGGGCUGCCAACCCGCGAGGGGGAGCUAAUCCCAGAAAGCCGAUCGUAGUCCGGAUUGUAGUCUGCAACUCGACUGCAUGAAGCCGGAAUCGCUAGUAAUCGCGGAUCAGCAUGUCGCGGUGAAUACGUUCCCGGGUCUUGUACACACCGCCCGUCACACCAUGGGAGUGGGUUCCACCAGAAGUAGGUAGCCUAACCGCAAGGAGGGCGCUUACCACGGUGAGAUUCAUGACUGGGGUGAAGUCGUAACAAGGUAACC
This 581-nucleotide ribosomal RNA is filed under the name uncultured bacterium. Its description in RNAcentral is "bacterial SSU rRNA". It matches the Rfam family "Bacterial small subunit ribosomal RNA", at positions 921 to 1501 of the family's 1533-position model. The record is from RNAcentral.